AAUGAACGCUGGCGGCAGGCCUAACACAUGCAAGUCGAACGGGUGCCUUCGGGUGCUAGUGGCGGACGGGUGAGUAACGCGUGGGAACAUACCCAAAGGUACGGAAUAGCCUCGGGAAACUGGGAGUAAUACCGUAUGUGCUCGAAAGAGGAAAGAUUUAUCGCCUUUGGAUUGGCCCGCGUUGGAUUAGGUAGUUGGUGGGGGUAAUGGCCUACCAAGCCGACGAUCCAUAGCUGGUUUGAGAGGAUGAUCAGCCACACUGGGACUGAGACACGGCCCAGACUCCUACGGGAGGCAGCAGUGGGGAAUCUUAGACAAUGGGGGAAACCCUGAUCUAGCCAUGCCGCGUGAUCGAUGAAGGCCUUAGGGUUGUAAAGAUCUUUCAGGUGGGAAGAUAAUGACUGUACCACCAGAAGAAGCCCCGGCUAACUCCGUG
Molecule: ribosomal RNA, 436 nt
Filed under: uncultured bacterium
Lineage: Bacteria
Description: bacterial SSU rRNA
Rfam family: Bacterial small subunit ribosomal RNA
Source: RNAcentral